AACUGUGAAUGUGAUGUGUCUGUGAAGACAAAACCUGAUCAAUAUUCAGGAACAACAGUGAGUGUAGACGUGUUUCAUCAAAAGACAGGCCAACUGGAGAACAGUGGAGGAAAGAAGGAGCAAUCCAAGCUGUCCAGAAGGCUUAUGCAAAUCUCCAAGAAAGCAGAGAGCCUGGAAAAUCACCAAGGAAGCGGACCUCUGUUGUCUGACACCUAAUCAUCCUUUGAAGGAGAAGCUUGAGAGAAAUGGAAAGAACAUAGUAGAGAAGAGGCUGUGGUCUGGAGUAUGCUCUGGGUGGUCAGCGAGUACCCGUGGCCACAUCCCCUUCCAGAGCCAGCCCUGUGGUGACAGCCACCCGUUUCCCAAUGGGUGAGGGGAACAUCUUGAAGAAGACUUGGCAUGAUGCCUAUCGGUUUCUACAAUGUUCCUUCUCAUUGUGGGCAUCCUUCUACGUGGCUUCUUAAUUGUACAUGUGCACACGCUGUGUCAAAUGGAGUUUCCAUCACCUCUGCUUGCUGAGUAUUACAUUUUUAAUCAGUAUAUAUAAUUACUUACCACAAGCUGCCAGGCCAGAUUUUCUGAGCAUUAGUCUAAUUAACUUAAGCUUGAUAAUUAUGUUUCAGAUACCAUAGCAGUACACACGGAAUUUGCAGAUUAUGCCGCCAGCUUAUUUGAUUCCAAUAACAUGUUUUCUCAGACAGAGGGUUAGUUUUGAUUUUUUUUAAAUGGCCAUCUGAUAAUUAUUUAGGUUUCAAAGUUUUCCCUCAAACAAAAUCAUUGUGCUAUUUAAGACAAGCUUCUCAAAUAAUUAAUGCAGAGUGGACUGAAAUAGGUUUCUGUGUAUUUUUACACACACAAAUCUGUUUUAUUAAUAUAAGCUCAGGCUGAGGAAAUAUUCAAGUAUAAAGUGUUCUGAUGGUCAAAUGGCAGAACCUUCCAUGUUUCAACUGGUGUAUGCUUUGCCUUUUCCUUUUACAUUUACUUGCCCUCUAGUUGAUGAAAAAUGAGAGAAAAGGAGAGACAAAAGAAACUGAAAACCUCCAAGACUUGUAGGUGAGAAAUUAGGGCAUGCUAAAUUCCCUUAAGAAUAACAAGCAAUGUACUGAGGGCUUGUUAUGUGCCAGGCACUAAGUUAAACCCUUUUUGUAGAUUAUCUCAUCUAAUCAUCUGUAAACCCUGUGGUAGGUAUGUGUUACAGAUUGAGUUGUAUCCCUCUUUUCCCCCAAAGAUAUGUUCAGUCGCUAACCCCCAGCACCUCAGAAUGUAACCUUGGGUCUUUACAGAGGGAAUCAAGCUGAAAUAAAAUCAUUAGAGUGGGCACUCAGGCAGUAAGACUGGUGUCCUUAUACAGUGGGGAGGUCUGGACACAGCCAUGCACACAGAAAGAAUGCCAUGUGAACAUGAAGGCAGAGACUGGGAUGAUGGGUCUACAAGUCAGGAAAUGCCAGCAAACCCCCACAAGCCAGGACAGGGUCAUGAAACAAAUUCUCCCUCAGGGUCCUCAGAAGGGACCAACCCUGCUGACACGUUGAUUUCAGACCUCCAGCCUCCAGAAUUGUGAGAAAACACAGUUGCUUAACUGGGUUUAGGCCACCCACUUUGUGUUGCUUUGCUACCGCAGCCCUGGCAAAUGAAUAUAGUAUGCACGACCCUACUCCCCAUCUUACAGAUGCCAAGGCUCAGAAAAGCUACGUGGUAUGUCCAAGGCCACAGCUGUCACAUGGCAGGGAUGGAGUACACAAUGGGGCCUUUCUGACUCCCAAGCUCAUGCCCUUGACCUUACCCACACCCCAGCCAUGAGCUACUGCCUAGGAGUGGGGAGAGAAGCAAUGUGACACAUCCUGGAAGUGGCUGAUGUGCUGUGAUCAUUUUACUGCUUCUUCAUUAAGAGUAAGACUGAAGUGGCACACGUUUCCAAGUUUAUAGACAGCUGCUUUCAUUUAAAACAAAAAAUGCACGCUGGAAAUUCCCACUUCCUAGCUUCUGAGGGCAAUGAAACAGAAUGUGCCUUUCCUCAUAGGGACAGAGAAAGCACAAGUUUGCGCUCUUCUCACUUCGAGCAUGAGAGAAGAAUAGGCCAAAAGAUCAUUGCUAAUUAUGCAAGGCAUAAGGGGAAACAACAAAUAGCCACUCUAUUCAAUCCACAGAACCAGAGAGGAAAGGACGGGUAGGUUUUCCCAAGAUGUUGGAAUGGAUGGAAAGAGCAAGAGUUAACAAGCCUGCUCCAUAAAGGCCACAGACGUGGAAUAAGAAUAAUUCUUGGUAAAAGAUGCAACCUUGGUCCAGGACAGAAAGCAGAGGAAUGCGAAGGAAAAGAGAAAAAGACACUUCUCUAAGAAUAUCUACUGGAGGGGCACCUGGGCGGCUUA
Long non-coding RNA from Callorhinus ursinus (northern fur seal), 2369 nucleotides. RefSeq lists it as uncharacterized. The record is from RefSeq and is a predicted model, not a curated record. NCBI's taxonomy places the organism in Eukaryota, Metazoa, Chordata, Mammalia, Carnivora, Otariidae.